CAGCCGCCGCGGUAAUACGUAGGUGGCAAGCGUUGUCCGGAAUUAUUGGGCGUAAGGGCUCGCGGGCGGUCUCUUAAGUCUGAUGUGAAAGCCCCCGGCUCAACCGGGGAGGGUCAUUGGAAACUGGGAAACUUGAGUGCAGAAGAGGAGAGUGGAAUUCCACGUGUAGCGGUGAAAUGCGUAGAGAUGUGGAGGAACACCAGUGGCGAAGGCGACUCUCUGGUCUGUAACUGACGCUGAGGAGCGAAAGCGUGGGGAGCGAACAGGAUUAGAUACCCCAGUAGUCCCUGUCUCUUAUACC
Molecule: ribosomal RNA, 301 nt
Filed under: uncultured bacterium
Lineage: Bacteria
Description: partial 16S ribosomal RNA
Rfam family: Bacterial small subunit ribosomal RNA
Source: RNAcentral